GGAUAAUGAUGCCAUUGCCACAUUUUCUCUAAAUGAAUUUUUUAAGAAUGGAAGUCACGUUAUCAAAAGAUUUUAUGUGGGCCUUUAAAAAAAUGCACAAAGGAUUUAAGGUUAAUUUGAAGAAAUGAAAGAAAAUAUAGUUGAUGCCUACACAGAUGAAUAAUGAAGAAAGUCUUUGUGAAUCAAACAAUCCACCUUGGAAAGAACUGGAUAAACUAUAAUUGCAAGAGAGUUGGGUUAAAGUCACAGCCUACAAAGAAAGACAUGAGUUGCAUUGUCCCAUUUCCCCACUCCAACACAUGUUUGAGGAAUUACAGACAUGCUGAAGAAGGCUUUGGACUUUGAAGGAAUAUGGAUUUGGGAUAAAGAGGAGAGAAACAUUUUGAGAGGAGUACAACUGUUUCCCCUUGUACAAUCUUCUAUUCU
This is a long non-coding RNA of Vulpes vulpes (red fox), 426 nucleotides long. The record is from Ensembl. Lineage: Eukaryota; Metazoa; Chordata; Mammalia; Carnivora; Canidae.